Chelonoidis abingdonii (Abingdon island giant tortoise) is the source of this 822-nucleotide non-coding RNA. Lineage: Eukaryota; Metazoa; Chordata; Testudines; Testudinidae. The record is from RefSeq and is a predicted model, not a curated record.
GUGUCGUUGGAGCUCUGGUCUUGCGCAGAUCGCGGCGGGCGAGACCUUUGUUAACCCCCCCGCCCCCCUCCGUGCUGCAGCCUCUAGGUGACUGACUGAGAUCAAGGCUCUUAUCGUACUGAGCAUGGCCCUGUUCUGCCAGGCACUGAAGAGACCCCAGGUGACAUCAGACUCCACUGUUGUGCCAGGGGCCGGUGACCUUCGAGGAGGUGGCUGUGUAUUUCACCAGAGAAGAGUGGUCUCUGCUGGACCCCACUUAGAGAGCCCUCUACAGAGAUGUCAUGCAGGAGAACUAUGAGACAGUAGUUUUUCUGGUUGGUUUUCCAGUUUCCAAACCUGAUGUGAUCUCGCAGCUGGAAUGAGGGGAAGAGCUGUGGGUCCCAGACUUUCAGGGCUCUGAGAAAGAAGUGCUUCCAAGAGCUAGCUUCACAGGGAGUGACCUAUAUCUGGAUUCUAUCUGUCUCCCAUCAGGUGAUGAGAUGUUGAGUCAGCAUGAGGAGAAGAAACCCCAUCAGGAAGAUGCUGAGCAAGGAGAACCAUAUGGAACAUUAUCAGGAAGAUCCAAAGGGAAUGUUUCUGAGAGUUGUGCACUCUCAAAAAAACAAAAGCCUGUGAGACUCAGCAGAGGCCAGAGGAAAACUGUAGUAGCCACUCAGACCUUAUAACAAGUGACAGAAUCAACUUGGAAGAGACACACUGCAUGUGCCAUGAGUGCAAGAAAAGCUUCAAUCAGAGCUCUGCCCUUAUCACACAUCAGACAGUCCACAUGGGUGAAAAAUCUUAUGAAUGCUCUGAGUGUGGGAAAAGCUUCAGUCAGCACUC